This 253-nucleotide ribosomal RNA is filed under the name uncultured bacterium. RNAcentral's name for it is "partial 16S ribosomal RNA". It matches the Rfam family "Bacterial small subunit ribosomal RNA", at positions 524 to 776 of the family's 1533-position model. The record is from RNAcentral.
UACGGAGGGUGCAAGCGUUAUCCGGAUUCACUGGGUUUAAAGGGUGCGUAGGCGGGCAGGUAAGUCAGUGGUGAAAUCUCCGGGCUUAACCCGGAAACUGCCGUUGAUACUAUCUGUCUUGAAUAUCGUGGAGGUAAGCGGAAUAUGUCAUGUGGCGGUGAAAUGCUUAGAUAUGACAUAGAACACCCAUUGCGAAGGCAGCUUACUACACGAUCAUUGACGCUGAGGCACGAAAGCGUGGGGAGCAAACAGG